This 668-nucleotide long non-coding RNA is filed under the name Penaeus chinensis. RNAcentral's name for it is "uncharacterized LOC125046199, transcript variant X1". The record is from RNAcentral. Lineage: Eukaryota; Metazoa; Arthropoda; Malacostraca; Decapoda; Penaeidae.
CGCUGGUGUCGUCAGAGGCAGACGUUGCUCCCGAUGUAAAUAUGGGGCGGGAAGAUUUCUGCUCAAGGGCCGUGUUGGGCUCGAAAAAGAAGCCUCUUGUGCUUCUGCAGUCGAUUUGGCACCAAUGGGCUGCAGUGCAAAGAAACAUUGGCAGAUUUAUGGGGGUUGACAUGGAUUUGAGGAGGCCAUGGCAGAAUUCGAGGGAGGACAUGAAAAUGUGUGUGUAUAAGCUGCAUUGGUUGUGAUACAGAAUAUACAUGGAUGAUUCACAGUGAAGGCUUAUCAUCAUACGAAGAACCAGUGUCAAGCUCUAAACUACCAGGAUGUUUGUUGGGCUUACAUACUGCAGUGCCAGAAGACAUGGAGACAGCUGUUACACAGAGCCAUAGAAUACAUGAUUCAUGGCUACCAGGAAGACACAGGCAGAAGUCCACAGUAAAGUAUUGCAGUCUUUGCAGUAUUUCCCUAUUUCCCAGGAAGACGAAAUUGUGAUUUCAGCUGAACCAACAAUUCUUCCCCGUAUUUGGGAUAAGAUACGCUACCAUGUGUCUCCAUCAUCAGCCCCAGGGCAGACCUCGAUGAAACAUCAUACGCGUGAUUAGAAUUAAGCCAAGUGGAUAUGUGUGUAUAUGUGUGUAUUUAUGUAUGUAUGUAUAUAUUUAUCUCUG